UACAGAGGGUGCAAGCGUUAAUCGGAAUUACUGGGCGUAAAGCGUGCGUAGACGGUUAUGUAAGUCGGGUGUGAAAGCCCCGGGCUCAACCUGGGAAUGCCAUUCGAGACUGCAUAGCUAGGGUGCGGAAGAGGGAAGCGGAAUUUCCGGUGUAGCGGUGAAAUGCGUAGAUAUGCGGAGGAACACCGAUGGCGAAGGCAAUCCCCUGGACCUGUACUGACGCUCAUGCACGAAAGCGUGGGGAGCAAACAGG
RNAcentral lists this ribosomal RNA (253 nucleotides) under uncultured bacterium. RNAcentral's name for it is "partial 16S ribosomal RNA". It matches the Rfam family "Bacterial small subunit ribosomal RNA", at positions 524 to 776 of the family's 1533-position model. The record is from RNAcentral.